GGGGAUUUAGCUCAGUGGUAGAGCACUUGCCUAGCAUGUGCAAGGCCCUGGGUUCAGUCCCCA
Rattus norvegicus (Norway rat) is the source of this 63-nucleotide non-coding RNA. The record is from Rfam. Lineage: Eukaryota; Metazoa; Chordata; Mammalia; Rodentia; Muridae.